GACGAACGCUGGCGGCGUGCCUAAUACAUGCAAGUCGAACGAACCGCGACUAAGUGCUUGCACUAAGUCAAGGUGAGUGGCGAACGGGUGAGUAACACGUGGUUAACCUACCUCAUAGUGGGGGAUAACAGUCGGAAACGACUGCUAAUACCGCAUAGGACAUAGGAUCACAUGAUCCAGUGAGGACAGGUGGCGCGAGCUAUCGCUAAGAGAUGGACCCGCGGUGCAUUAGCUAGUUGGUAGGGUAAAGGCCUACCAAGGCGAUGAUGCAUAGCCGACCGGAGAGGGGGAUAGGCCACAUGGGAACGUAGACACGGCCCAAACGCCUGCGGGAGGCAGCAGUAGGGAAUCUUACGCAAUGGACGCAAGUCUGACGGAGCAACGCCGCGUGAGUGAAGAAGGUCUUCGGAUCGUAAAGAUCUGUUGUUAGAGAAGAACAGCGCAUAGAGUAACUGCUAUGCGUGUGACGGUAUCUAAUCAGAAAGCCACGGCUAACUACGUG
Molecule: ribosomal RNA, 502 nt
Filed under: uncultured bacterium
Lineage: Bacteria
Description: partial 16S ribosomal RNA
Rfam family: Bacterial small subunit ribosomal RNA
Source: RNAcentral